UCUGACGUGAUGCUUGCUAAGUUGGAUGUGGAUUCAUUUAGUAAACCUUGUGUGUGCAUUUGUUUUUUUAUGUUUAGCAACUGCUUACAUGGAUCACCUGUUUUUGUUUUGCUAUGACUUCAAAGUAGGGCGCUGAACACUGACUAAGAGGAGAGAGCGCACAUUACAUGGAGACCAUGGUCCCCAUACCAGAAACAUGAGAGUAGAGAGAAGCAAAGCCAGCAUCGUGGAGCCAGUCCCUUUAUCCAGGAUCUUGGAGGGAUACAGUCUUCUGUAGAAAUUAAAUAAAGACUGAAUUCUUCAAUGGGUAUUUUGAGAAGAGAGCCACUGUAAGCUUAUACACUGUGAAUUGCAAAAUGUUACUGCCUCUGGGUGGACAGGUUUUAAAAAGACUUUUUUUUUUCCUCCUGGCAUGGCUGACAGAGGGAAGGCUGGGUUUCAAUCCCAUCUUUCCCUUCCCUUGCCCAGUGCUUCUUUAUGUGCACAACCUGCACAACUAUAUGUGGUUUGCAAACACGCAUAAGCAAAGACUAACAGCUUCUGAAACAAACUCUGAAUAAAAGAGGGAGCAUAUUAAGGCAGAUGGCAGAGGAGGUGAGCAGCAUGGGCAGAUAGAAGCAUCACAGAGACUACAAGAAGAAUGUGCCAGACCGGCUCAUAGUGGCCACACUGAUUAAGAAUUACCAUCAGCUCUUUAGGAUUUGGAAACUUGGAAACACAUUGUGUGUUCUUCCUGGUUUGUUAUAGAGUAUGUGUAUGUACUUCUUUCUCUUAAAAAUAUUUAUUUUUAAAGAAUUGACUUAUAAAAUUAUAUGUAUUUGUCAUGUAUAACACAAUAUUUUGAAGUACAGUCCUGUGUCAUAAGGAUAUGUUCUGAGAAAUCCAUCAAUUUUGUCAUUGUAUAAACAUGAUAGAGUGUAUUUACACAAACCUAGGUGGUAUAAACUACUACACACCUAGGCUACAUAAUGUAGCCUAUUGCUCCUAGGCUAUAAACCUGUAUAACAUGCUACUGUACUAAAUACUAUAGACAAUAGUCACAUACUGGUGAGUAUUUGCGUAUCAAAACAUAUCUAAAUAUAGAAAAGAUGCAGUAAAAAUAUGGUAUUACAAUCUUAUGAGAC
Molecule: long non-coding RNA, 1124 nt
Filed under: Homo sapiens (human)
Lineage: Eukaryota; Metazoa; Chordata; Mammalia; Primates; Hominidae
Description: long intergenic non-protein coding RNA 2607
Source: RNAcentral